GAUGAACGCUGGCGGCGUGCCUAAUACAUGCAAGUCGAGCGAACAGACGAGGAGCUUGCUCCUCUGACGUUAGCGGCGGACGGGUGAGUAACACGUGGAUAACCUACCUAUAAGACUGGGAUAACUUCGGGAAACCGGAGCUAAUACCGGAUAAUAUAUUGAACCGCAUGGUUCAAUAGUGAAAGACGGUUUUGCUGUCACUUAUUGAUGGAUCCUCGCCGCAUUAGCUAGUUGGUAAGGUAACGGCUUACCAAGGCAACGAUGCGUAGCCGACCUGAGAGGGUGAUCGGCCACACUGGAACUGAGACACGGUCCAGACUCCUACGGGAGGCAGCAGUAGGGAAUCUUCCGCAAUGGGCGAAAGCCUGACGGAGCAACGCCGCGUGAGUGAUGAAGGUCUUCGGAUCGUAAAACUCUGUUAUUAGGGAAGAACAAAUGUGUAAGUAACUAUGCACGUCUUGACGGUACCUAAUCAGAAAGCCACGGCUAACUACGUG
Molecule: ribosomal RNA, 497 nt
Filed under: uncultured bacterium
Lineage: Bacteria
Description: partial 16S ribosomal RNA
Rfam family: Bacterial small subunit ribosomal RNA
Source: RNAcentral